GGUGAGAUGGCCGAGCGGUCUAAGGCGCUAGACUAAGGAGUGGGAUUUGAACCCGCUUUGGCAUCUAGUCUCUCUCCGAGGCGUGGGUUCGAAUCCCACUCUCAUCA
Molecule: non-coding RNA, 107 nt
Organism: Pleurotus ostreatoroseus
Lineage: Eukaryota; Fungi; Basidiomycota; Agaricomycetes; Agaricales; Pleurotaceae
Source: the annotation of a GenBank genome assembly